RNAcentral lists this ribosomal RNA (724 nucleotides) under Enhydrobacter sp. AaD8b. RNAcentral describes it as "bacterial SSU rRNA". It matches the Rfam family "Bacterial small subunit ribosomal RNA", at positions 28 to 748 of the family's 1533-position model. The record is from RNAcentral. Lineage: Bacteria; Pseudomonadati; Pseudomonadota; Alphaproteobacteria; Hyphomicrobiales.
AAUGAACGCUGGCGGCAGGCUUAACACAUGCAAGUCGAACGAUGAUUAUCUAGCUUGCUAGAUAUGAUUAGUGGCGGACGGGUGAGUAACAUUUAGGAAUCUGCCUAGUAGUGGGGGAUAGCUCGGGGAAACUCGAAUUAAUACCGCAUACGACCUACGGGUGAAAGGGGGCGCAAGCUCUUGCUAUUAGAUGAGCCUAAAUCAGAUUAGCUAGUUGGUGGGGUAAAGGCCCACCAAGGCGACGAUCUGUAACUGGUCUGAGAGGAUGAUCAGUCACACCGGAACUGAGACACGGUCCGGACUCCUACGGGAGGCAGCAGUGGGGAAUAUUGGACAAUGGGGGCAACCCUGAUCCAGCCAUGCCGCGUGUGUGAAGAAGGCCUUUUGGUUGUAAAGCACUUUAAGCAGGGAGGAGAGGCUAAUGGUUAAUACCCAUUAGAUUAGACGUUACCUGCAGAAUAAGCACCGGCUAACUCUGUGCCAGCAGCCGCGGUAAUACAGAGGGUGCGAGCGUUAAUCGGAAUUACUGGGCGUAAAGCGAGUGUAGGUGGCUCAUUAAGUCACAUGUGAAAUCCCCGGGCUUAACCUGGGAACUGCAUGUGAUACUGGGUGGUGCUAGAAUAUGUGAGAGGGAAGUAGAAUUCCAGGUGUAGCGGUGAAAUGCGUAGAGAUUUGGAGGAAUACCCGAUGGCGAAGGCAGCUUCCUGGCAUAAUAUUGACACUG